This 524-nucleotide ribosomal RNA is filed under the name uncultured bacterium. Its description in RNAcentral is "partial 16S ribosomal RNA". It matches the Rfam family "Bacterial small subunit ribosomal RNA", at positions 28 to 523 of the family's 1533-position model. The record is from RNAcentral.
GACGAACGCUGGCGGCGUGCCUAAUACAUGCAAGUCGAACGCUUCUUUUUCCACCGGAGCUUGCUCCACCGGAAAAAGAGGAGUGGCGAACGGGUGAGUAACACGUGGGUAACCUGCCCAUCAGAAGGGGAUAACACUUGGAAACAGGUGCUAAUACCGUAUAACAAUCGAAACCGCAUGGUUUUGAUUUUAAAGGCGCUUUCGGGUGUCGCUGAUGGAUGGACCCGCGGUGCAUUAGCUAGUUGGUGCGGUAACGGCUCACCAAGGCCACGAUGCAUAGCCGACCUGAGAGGGUGAUCGGCCACAUUGGGACUGAGACACGGCCCAAACUCCUACGGGAGGCAGCAGUAGGGAAUCUUCGGCAAUGGACGAAAGUCUGACCGAGCAACGCCGCGUGAGUGAAGAAGGUUUUCGGAUCGUAAAACUCUGUUGUUAGAGAAGAACAAGGAUGAGAGUAACUGUUCAUCCCUUGACGGUAUCUAACCAGAAAGCCACGGCUAACUACGUGCCAGCCGCCGCCGUAA